RNAcentral lists this long non-coding RNA (203 nucleotides) under Gossypium barbadense (sea-island cotton). RNAcentral describes it as "long non-coding RNA (GBAR_LNC003214)". The record is from RNAcentral. Lineage: Eukaryota; Viridiplantae; Streptophyta; Magnoliopsida; Malvales; Malvaceae.
CCAACCAAAAAUUCUAAAAAAAAUUUCCCCAUAAAAAUAUUUGAGUCUAGUUUCGGGGAAAUUUUAUAGAAUUGGAUUUCGAGUUUCAUAACUCAAAAUAUGAUUUUUAAACCGACCACGAUACAGUAGCUAGCUUGCCUGGAACAAAAAAAAAUAUAUAGGAGGAAAUAAAUGAAGUAAGCUGGUAACACCUCGUGUUCGAU